Molecule: long non-coding RNA, 10076 nt
Organism: Mobula hypostoma (lesser devil ray)
Lineage: Eukaryota; Metazoa; Chordata; Chondrichthyes; Myliobatiformes; Myliobatidae
Exons: 5
Source: RefSeq, a predicted model, not a curated record
GAGAUUGCAGAUGCCUGGAAAAUCCUUCGGAGAAACGUCUCCAAGUUAUUUCUCUGGCUUCGUUCCCUUUGUAUCUGUGCAUUAGAAAUAUCUGGGGAAAAAUACAGAAGAAAAUGCCAGCCUCUUUAGUAGGGGGAAAAUGUCCGCUUGGCGAAGGCGGAGAGAGAGAAAAUGUUCCCACCACGGGAGAAGCAAAGUCAAAACACACGAGCGAAUGGCUGGCGGUGGCGGGAACAUCUGAGAUGCCUUUUAUUAGCCGACUGUGGAUGGCGAGCCAACAGCGGUAGAACCGGCCCUUCCAUUCUCCGGAAUCUUGUUCAUUAUUCCGCAUUUGAUUUGUUUUCCUGAGCAGGAAGAGGGGUGGGGGAGCAGGGGAGAGAGAGAAUAUUAAUAAUAAUAAUACUAAUAAUAAAGUAUCAGGUCAGGAGUUUGAAGGGGAGAAAAAAAAGACAGUCCCAAUGAUGAAAGGUUUCAGCCCGAAAAAUCGACUGUUUAUUCCUCUCCAUAGAUGCUGCCUGACCUGCCGAGUUCCUCCAGAAUUUUGUGUUUGCUGCUGCAGAUGGUUUAUUUUGGUUAGUUGGAUUUUUUUUUCUUUCUCUCUCUCUCUCUCUCUCUCUCUGCCGAUCACGAGGAGCAAAGAGAGCCGGGGAAGGAGAGAUUCGGAGCAGCCAACAGUAAAUAAAGAAAUAUAAGUAAACAUAAGAUCCAAAACCAACAGCCACCAAAACAAAAAAAAACUAACAAAAGCAGUUGGAGAGCGUCAAGUGCGAACUCGGAGCUUCUUGGCUCGUCACAACAUCCGAUGGACAACGGUAAAUGUCUGGGAGUGUGAGAAAGACAGAGAGAAAAGAGCGUUCGGUGAAGGCGGGAGAGAAAGUUCGGCAAUUAAAGUCUAAGAAUGGAGCGUAAACACGUGAACUACCCGACGCGCCUGUUAAAUCCCACAUUCUAAUACAUGCAAACACGAAAAUACGUUUCCUGAAAGACAAAAUAUAGGAGACUUUCUUGUCAGCGUUUGGUUCUAUUCAAAUGUUGUUGUGUCUGUCGGACGGUCUGUGAUUGCUGAGGGGUCGGGGGUUGUUGGCGGUAGCGAAGUACAUUGUUCCGCCAAAUGAGAAGAGAGGGCUCUGCCUAUUCUGGGAAUGGCCCUUCCACACAUACAAAAAAAAUCAGAUCAUGCAAGGAUUGAACAAUAGGGCUUCAGUUCAUCAGCGACAAAAGAAAAGGGGGAGUUAUUUGAUUUUCAGACCACGUACCCGCCGGAGGGGCUGGACAAUCUUUACCCGCCCCCCCCAGGAAAAAAACUUGCACACAGUACCGUCACUUUUUUUUACUUCUUGGGUUUGUGAGAGCAAAAUGUUACGGGGAAAAGUUAUUUUUCUUUAAAGGUUGGAAGAUGUCCUCUCUGUUCUAGUGCCCUUUGAGUCAGAAUAAUGUUGUGGAAAUAAGCAGCUUCUUUGAAUAAAGGUGACGAGGAAUGGCAUUGGUUGCUUCCGGACCCACGAAGAAGUCAAAACUUGCCAAGAGGAGCCUUCAGCUGCGGGGUUUUGUGCAUCAAGAUCUCAGAAAUGAACCUUGAGGUUUAUAUUCCAGCGCCCUGUAAAGAGUAAAGCGGAUGCAUGUUCUGAAACAUAGUACCCAAGAAAACGCACAGAAGAUACCUAGUAUCUCUUUAUGACAAGAAUGAGAGAAGUGCUGCACAUAUUCCUGGAAUUUAAACAGUAUGAGGUCUGCUCUGGCAAUCUAAGCUGCUGCCUGAUCUACUGAGUGUUCCCAGCAUUUUCUGUCUUUCACUUCAGACUUCCACCAUCUGCAGACUUAUGAUUUUCAGUUACCACGCUGAUGAGGGUGUGUGUGUGUGACAAAUGGCCACUGGAAAUACGGAGAGCAAGUGGAUUAUGAUGCCAGUUUGAUGUUGCAAUAUUGGAGCUGCUCAGUCCAGAUCUAACUCCCAUGCCAACUCCAGAAAGUCAGAACACCAGAAUCAGGAAGAUAUUGAGUUGGGCACUUUGAUUGAGUUUGGCACUUGGAGGAUAGGAGGAAGGUGCUGAGAUAUGGGAAGGAUGUUGGAAGUCCAUCAGUAGCAGAUAUCUUUAAUGUUAGCAGAGUUACGGGAAUGGUGAAAAUUGUUAUGGCUCAAAGUUCACCCUGAUGUUCAUCUGUCAGAAUAUACACUCAGUAGCCACUUUAUUGGGUACACCUGUACACCAGCUCAUUAAUGCAAACAUCUAAUCAACCAAUCAUGUGGCAGCAACUCAGUGCAUAAAAGCAUGCAGACAUGGUCUGGAGGUUCAGUUAUUGUUCAGACCAAACAUCAGAAUGGAGAAGAAAUGUAAUCCAAAUGAUUGUUGGUGCCAGGCGGGGAGGUUUGAGUGUCUCAGAAAUGACUGAUCUCCUGGGAUUUUGACCCACAACAGACUCUAGAGUUUACAGAGAGUGGUACAGAAAAACCUUCCAGUUCUGUGGGUGGAAACGCCUUGUUAAUGAGAGAGGUCAGAGGAGAUUGGCUAGACUGGCUCAUGCUCUCAUGAAGGUGACAGUAACUCCAUUAACCACACAUUACAACAGUGGUAUGCAGAGGAGCAUUUCUGAAUCCACAGAACUUUGAACCUUGAAGUGGAUGGGCUACAGCAGCAGAAGACCAUGAGCAUGCGCACACUGGAUACUUUAUUAAGUAUAUCCAUGAGUCCUUCCUGCAAGGCCAUAUUUUAUAUCACCUUCUGAGCAGGAUUCAUUGGAUGCCAUUAUAUUUCAGUUGCAUGGACUCUGAUGCGUAUGGAACAUCAUAUUGCCGGAAUUGUCUAGUAUUUAUUCACAUUAUGCCAUCACCCUGUUACUUACGCACAGGAACUUUGGAAAAACAUCAAGUGUAAUUUAACUGAAAUAAGAAUAAAGAAGCAAAAGUGUAUUCAUUGAUUCAUGGAAAAUGCAUCUGAAAUACCAUCAUUAACUAGUAAUGACUUCCUACUCAGACAACCCUGCAGUUUGAACACACAAAAUAAACUAGAUUGAGAGACGAAGGAGAAAAAGAAAAUUUAUCUCCUCCCUGGUUUCUUUAGGGGCCUAGCGAAGUCAAAUUGCUCAGAAAUGAUAUAGGACUAUGCAAUGAAAAGAGAUAAAAUGCAAGCCUAGGUCAGGGUACCAAUUGUGAUUAGCUCCAUUGUUGGAGAUGCUUUGAGCUUCAUUGGCCCCAGAUAAAACAGCACUAAUGAAUCUAUCUGGGCUUGGCUGAAUUCUGUAUUGAAGGCACGUUUUCGUGGUAUUGUGGUAUACCGUAAGUAUAUAAAAGAUUUGUGUACAGUUGCAUUCACAAGACUAGCUUUCGCCAUUUUCCCACAAAUGUCUUCUGAUCGUUGUGUAACAGGAGGGAAAACAGAAAAUAGUGGUUUCUGAAAACGGAUUACAACAAACAGUGAGGAAAAUUUAGUUCAAGUUAAAACAACUAGAGCUAUCCAAAUGUUUUGUAAUUGAGAUCGAAUUAAUGCUUUGAUGUGACACUUCAUCUUUCUAAAGAAAACUUAAACUUGCUACUGAAAUGUUAAUCUGCUUUCUGUUUCCUUUCAGUCCUAGUGAAUACUUUUGAACAUUAUUAGAAGCAAAGCAGUAUGAAGCUUAUUUAUAGAAACGUUUUGUCUCUAAAACUAUCUCUUUGUAAUAUGUUUCUUUGAUCAUACCUAACUAAAUCGUUAAUUAAUUUAACUUUCCUUUGUUAAAUACUACAGAAAAUACAUAGUACAUUUAUGAGACUGUAUGUUUAUGUUUUCAAUAAAGCACCUAGAAACAUGAUAGUAUAAUAAUAAUACUGUGAGUCAUUGCUUUUUAGAAUUCAAAAAUGUACUUAAACAGCUGUAUUUAAACAGAAUUGGAUUUUACAUUUAUCUGAGCUAGUACUUUUGGAAUAAAACUUGAAAACUACACCAGCAAACUCGCUCUGAAUGUCUGCUGUUUAGUUAUCUCUGACAUUUAGCUGAAGAGACAUUUUCUGUGAAAUCUGUAAGAAAAUCCUGUGGGCAGUGCAGAAGCGAACAGAGUCUCAUGCAAUCACGUCUGACAGGUCACAACUUUUCCCCCCCCGCACCCUUCCCCCAAUCCAUCAAACAUUAAUAUACCAAAUGAUCCAAUUUCUCAUCUAUCUCUUUAUUCAUUUUAAACUUCUUAAUAUUCCACUAAAUAUCUCCAAAUAAAGCCAGAGAAAAGGAUAGGAAUACAACUAGGUAAAUCAACUUGAAUUUGAAAUCCGCUGUGGCAUAUUAAGUGGCACAGCCUCAUUGUAGGAAGGGGUGACCCUGCGGCUCCUUGCAGUUUGAAGCUAAUUGUUUUCGUCAGGAUGGGAACGUCUGGAAGACCAUUGCAGUGUCCCACCAGCAUAGCUGCAGUAACUGAGCUGGUCUGCAGAGAAUGAACUUACUUUGUAGCAACACAGCGUGCUCACACACCACCUAUUCUGCUCUCAAAACUGUCAUGCAUAACAACUUUAUUGUGCUAAAUUGAACUUGAAAGCAUCCAAAGGCGAUGAGAAGGAGAGGCUAUGAGAAAAGUGUGCUGUCAGUGCUGGCAAAGUCUGACCUGGAAAGAAGAUGCUGAGACAGGAGAAUAAAAGACCAAGCCCCGUGAACACAAUAUAUUGUUUCAUUUUAAAGUAUGAUUCCCAUACAAGAAAAUGUGAUGUAAAUUUAUUUAAAUGGAUUCCGUGGCUCCAAAGUUUGCCAGUCAGUCUUGCUUAACUUUCCCAGCUUCCUGAUUCGUUGCUUACAGUGGGAAUAUAAUGACAUAUAGUCAUCAUUGUAACAGCUUCUUUGCAGGGGCACAAUAAUGAUUAAUAGGCAGCAACAAAUUUUCACAUGGACUUUGAGUCACAGCGGCACUAAGCAUACCAAGCUCUCCCAAAUCCCCUUUUCUGUUCCAAUCAAAAGUUCUUCCCUUGUACCUUGCAGUUAUGAACAAAGCCCUUCGUUAUUCCAAUCAGCUUCCCUUAAUUCAGAGCAGACCUCUUUUUCUGAUUAAUUCAUGUGCUCCUUUUUCCCUUUCACUCCUUUUCACUCUGCGACAAUUCUUUAUUUUUAUAUACAUUUGUUCCCAGGAUUACUAAGUAGUUCCUUAGAAGCCCUUCAAACAGUGGACUGUAAACGGCUAUAGAAGAGAAGGCUGUAAAUGGAAUUUAAAAAAAAUACAAUUUUUCUCCCUCUUUUGACCAACACCAAGUUGUAAGAAGGGUAGAGGAGCAGCUACCCUGACAGGCAUAAAUCUGGGCUAGUCCUGAGUAUGCAGAGUUACAACAAUAGCUCAGCUCUUUUCAUUGUAUCACAGCUGGUUCCCAUGAGAGACUAACCGAGAACAGAGAUCAGUUUUCCUGACGAAAUGUUUAUUCACUUUAUAAUGGUAGUCACUUCUAAAUGUAAAGGAUUCACAUUAAGUUUGAUGCGUAUGACAUAUAUUCAUAAUAGAUCCCGCACUACAGUACAAAAAAAAGUAAAAAGUCUGAGCACAGAGAGGAAAGACUUUCAAAGAUCCUUCAUUUUAACCCUUGUAACAGAAGUGUAACAAAAUAUCUGUACCUAAUGUCUUUGUACAUGUAAUUUUAUACUAUUGUCCAACAAUAAUUCACCAGUACUGAGCAUACAUCUGCGGCUUACAUGUUCUCUUAUCAGUUUAUCAGGCCGACUACAAAUGUUGAGCACAGAUGAAGUUUGCAUAAUUUAAAGAUAAAGCUUUUUAAUGUGAUUACACAGGAAAUCCUAUACAAUAUUAAGUAGUCACCCGAGGGACUGAUAGACGAUGAAUGUUUGAAACAGGUGGCUGUUUAAUGUGUGUACAAUCCUUGUACAGCUGAGCUCGACUUCAGGUGAGCUGAUGCAGUGAAGUGUUGCUUUAAGUGGACAUCGGAAGUUUCAUACCAGUAUAUUAUAAACACUAAAGGUUCUGCAGAUAUUGGAAAACCAUUUCCCAUUCUGGCUCCCCUUUUACCCUUUCUCUUCUCCUCACCUGCCCAUCACCUCCCCUUAGUGCCUUUCCUCCUUCCCUUUCUCCCAUGGUUCACUCUCUUCUCCUAUCUGAUUCCUUCCUCUCCAGCCCUUUACCUUUUCCACCUAUCACCUUCCAGCUUCUUACUUCGUUCACGCUGCCCAGCCACCUGUCCACCUUCCCCCCCCCCCCCACCUUCUUAUUCUGGCAUCUCUCCCUUCUUUUCCAGUCCUGAUGAAGGGUCUCCACCCAAAACAUUAACUAUUUAUUCUCCUCUGUAAGAUCUGCUGAGUUCCUCCAGUAUUUUGUGUGUGUUGCUCUGGAUUCCCAGCAUCUUCAGACCUUCUGACAUUUUUGAGGGGGGUAAAUGUUAAUUUCAGCCUCUGCCCCAUUUUCUUUUCUGAUGCAGUCAGUUGCAGUCCAGAAAGAAUCAUAACAGUGGUUUAUCAUAAGCCAGAAAAAUAUUGAAAACUAUUUCUCAUUUUUGAUGCCUGACCUCCAGCAUUUCAGAAACAGAAUCAGGUUUAAUAUCACUGGCAUAUGUCGUGAAGUCUGUUAACUUUGCAGCAGCAGUACAAUGUAAUACAUGAUAAAUAUUUUAAAAAACUGAAUUACAGUAAGUGUAUAUUAAAUAGUUAAAUUAAGAUAAGUAGUGCUAAAACAGAAAUUUAAUAAAUAGUGAGGUAGUUUUCAAGGGUUCAAUGUCCAUUCAGAAAUUGGAUGGCAGAGGGGAAGAAACUGUUCCUGAAUCACUGAAUGUUUGCCUUCAGGCUCCUGUACCUCCUCCCUGAUGGUAGCAAUGAGAAGAGGGUAGCGGUGGUCCUUAAUGAUGGAUGCUACCUUUUUGAAGUACCGUACCUUGAAGAUGUCUUGGAUACCAUGGAGGCUAGUGCCCAUGAUGGAGCUGACUAAAUUUACAACUCUUUGCAGCUAACGUUGAUCCUGUUCAUUACCACGCCCCCUGCCCCCCCACCCCCAAUACCAAAUGGUGAUGCAGCCAGUCAGAAUGCUCUCUACGGUACAUCUGUAGACGUUUUUGAGUGUUUUAGGUGGCAAACCAAAUCUACUCUAACUCCGAAUGAAAUAUAGCCGCUGCCUUACCUUCUUUAUAUUUUGUUUGUGUUGCUCCAGAUUUCCACAGCUGCAAAAUCUCUUGUAUUUAGUUAGAACACCUCCUGCAUUUUCUUUCUUAACUUUCUUUAUGGCUAAAUUUGUUAUCUUCUGAAGCGUUGGAAAAAUCGUGAUUGGAAUUAGCCUAUACACACAGGGUCUGACGUAGGCAGCAUGCCAACUCUACCCAGUCAGAUAAUUAACAUCAUAGCAGUGUGCAGCUAAUGCUAGCCAUGUUGCAGAGUGUCUGCACUUCUCCACAGGAGGUCCCAAAAUUGAGAGAAGCUAAGACCACUUAAAACUGGCUUGCGUUAUUUAAAGCCAGCCAACGACUCUUAGAGGUGUUGAGUGGCUGGAGCAGGUGGUGGAUUUCUGGAAAAGUGUCCCUGCUGAAAAGCAGAUGUCUCAACUAUUGUUUUUUUUAAACUGAGAUUUGGGGAGGAUAAUUGCUUUUAGUACACCAUUGGCAUUCUGCCAGGGACUGAGAAAGAAAGGGAGAGAAAUAUCAAAAAAUGCUGGGUUCCUUGAGCAUUUUGUGUGUUACCCCUGAUGAAGGGUCUAGCCUGAAAUGUUGACACUUUUCAUAAUGCUGCCUGACCUGCAUCAGUUCCUCCAUCAUUUUGUGUGUGUUGAAAGGUCUCGGCCCCAAUCAUUGACUGUUUAUUCCCCUCCAUAGAAGCUGCCUGACCUGUUGAGUUCUUCCAGCAUUUUAUAUGUGAUGCUCUUGAAAAGAAUAUACCUGAAAAACUGUGUACCACUUUGGUCUGUCUACCCAGGGGUGGAUACACCAUACAUGCAAUAGCAGGAAUGCAAUAAAGAUUAACCAGAUUGACUCCUAGAAUGUCUUAUGAGGGCUGACUAAGCAAAUUGGGCCAAUAUUCUAGGCUAAUAGAAAUCUGAGAAAUUACUCUGGCAUUUCAGCAACUGCAGUAUCUCUUGUGUUUAUAUUCUUAACAUGAUUCUGUAUAACUACAGUAAGACAUCUUUCCCUUUGUACUCUGAUCCUCUUGUCGGAAAAGACAUGAGCCCAUUUGCCUUCCUAAAUGAUAGAGAUAUACAAAACUGAGGGGCAUAGAUAGGGUAAAUGCAGCAGGCUUUUUCCUGUGAGGUUUGGUGGCACUACUACUAGAAAUAAUGGGUUAAGGGUGAAACGUGAGAAGUUUAAGAGGAACAUGUGGGGAAACCUCUUCACUCAGAGGGGGGUGAGAGUGUGAAAGGAGCUGCCAGCACAAGUGGUGGAUGUGAGCUCAAUUUCAACGUUUAAGAGAAAUACCGAUCGGGAUAUGGAGGGCUGCAGUCAUGGUACAGGUUGAUGGGACUAGGCAGUUUUAAAAGGUUCAACGUGGACUAGAUGGACCAAAAGGCCUGUUUUUGUGCUGUACUUUUCUAUGACUCUGUGACUCUAAAUGCUUGCUACAUCAGUCCACUGGUAUUUUGUGAUUCAGGUGAAACAACUGAACACCUCUCUAUUUUGGAUGGUGCGGUAGCGUAUCAGUUAGCAUAAUGCAUUACAGUGCCAGUGACCUGACUGUAAAGGGUUUGUGCUUUCUCCCCCUAACCGCAUAGGUUUCCUCCGGGUGCUCCAGUUUCCUCCCACACUCCAAAGACGUACAUGUAAGGGUUAGUAAGUUGUGGGUAGGCUAUGUUGGCGACAGAAGGAUGGUGACUUUCGCGGGUUGCCCCGGCACGUCCUUGGACUGUGUUGUGUGUUGAUGCAAAUGACCCAUUUCACUGCAUGUUUCAUUGUUUCAAUGUACGUGUGACAAAUAAAGCUAAUCUCCCUUUUUUACUUUGAGAAGAAUGUGAAAGCUUUGGCGAGGAUGCAGAGGAGAUUUACCAAGAUAGUGUUUGGAUUAGAAAGCAUGUUUUAUGAAGAUAGGUAAAGCCAUCUCGGGCUUUUCUCUUUGGAGCAAAGGAAGAUGAGAGUUGACUUGAUAAAGGUGUACAAGAUAAUAACAGGCAUAGAAUGGUACAGAGCAUUUUCCUCUCUUGACGGAAUGGCUAAUACAAGGGGCAUAACUUUAAGGUGGUGUGAAGAAUGCAUGGGAGUGGGGCAAUGUCAGAGAGUGGUAGGUGCCUGCUAUAUGGGUGGUGGUGGAGGCAGAUAUAUUUAAAAGACACAGGAUGAAAUAAAAAUGGAGGGCUAUGUGGGAGGGAAAGGGUUAGAUUGAUCUUGGUGUUGAUUAAAAUAUUGAUAUAACAUCGGGGGCUGAAAGGCUUGCCCUGUUUAUGUUCUAUAGUUAUAGGGAAUGUCGACUCAGACCAUGAGGGGCCUGCGUGGGGCAUUUUCAUGCCUUACAAGGCGCAGGUUGGAAGUCUGUGUGGGGCGCCACUCCUCGCACAGACUAGAGCAAUGUGUGAUUAAGUGCCUUGCUCAAGGGCACAACCACGCUGCCACAGCUGAGGCUCGAACUAGCGACCUUGAGAUCACUAGACGAAUGCCUUAACCACUUGGCCACGUGCCCAACGCCAUAAUUAUAACAAGCGUUUAACUUUCAAAAAAAAAAGAAAAUCCACUCUUCACAUCAAAACUCCAUGACUAACUAGCCGACAGACCUUGCCCAAAAAGCUGUUAUGAUUUUGGAGAGAGGGGUAAAUGUUAGUUUCUCCCCCUGCCCUAUUUUUGUUACUGGUGCAGUCAAUUGAAUGCUUAGUCCAGAAAGAUUCACUACCACAGUAUCUCACAGCCUGCUAUGGAAAUACCAAUUUCUUUGAAUGGAAAAUCCUGUAAGAGGUAGUGCAUUCAGCCCAGUAUUUCAGUAAGUCCCUCCCAACCAUUGAGCACAUUUACAUGAAACACUGCUGUUAAAAAGUAACAUCCAUCAUCAGAGAUCCUCACCACCCAGGUCAGGCUCCUUUCUCGCUGCUGCCCUCAGGUAGAAGGCGCAAGAGCCUCAGGACUCGCACCACCAGGUUCAAAAGCAGUUACUAACCUACAACCAUCAGGCUGUUGAACAAAAGGGGACAACUACAGCACAAACAACAGGAAUUCUGCAGAUGCUGGA